This 248-nucleotide ribosomal RNA is filed under the name uncultured bacterium. RNAcentral describes it as "partial 16S ribosomal RNA". It matches the Rfam family "Bacterial small subunit ribosomal RNA", at positions 524 to 771 of the family's 1533-position model. The record is from RNAcentral.
UACGAAGGGGGCUAGCGUUGCUCGGAAUCACUGGGCGUAAAGGGUGCGUAGGCGGGUUAUUAAGUCAGAGGUGAAAUCCUGGAGCUCAACUCCAGAACUGCCUUUGAUACUGAUAGUCUUGAGUAUGGGAGAGGUGAGUGGAACUGCGAGUGUAGAGGUGAAAUUCGUAGAUAUUCGCAAGAACACCAGUGGCGAAGGCGGCUCACUGGCCCGUAACUGACGCUGAGGCACGAAAGCGUGGGGAGCAA